CUUUAAUGGAGAGUUUGAUCCUGGCUCAGGACGAACGCUGGCGGCAUGCCUAAUACAUGCAAGUCGAGCGGACUUGA
This 77-nucleotide ribosomal RNA is filed under the name Paenibacillus sp. ov031. Its description in RNAcentral is "partial 16S rRNA. Bacterial SSU". It matches the Rfam family "Bacterial small subunit ribosomal RNA", at positions 1 to 75 of the family's 1533-position model. The record is from RNAcentral. Lineage: Bacteria; Bacillati; Bacillota; Bacilli; Caryophanales; Paenibacillaceae.